This 457-nucleotide ribosomal RNA is filed under the name uncultured bacterium. RNAcentral describes it as "partial 16S ribosomal RNA". It matches the Rfam family "Bacterial small subunit ribosomal RNA", at positions 339 to 795 of the family's 1533-position model. The record is from RNAcentral.
CUACGGGGGGCUGCAGCGGGGAAUAUUGCGCAAUGGAGGAAACUCUGACGCAGCAACGCCGCGUGGGUGAAGAAGGUCUUCGGAUUGUAAAGCCCUGUCGGGAGGGAAGAAAAGCACAUGGUGAAUGUGUCUGACGGUACCUUCGAAGGAAGCACUGGCUAACUCCGUGCCAGCAGCCGCGGUAAUACGGAGAGUGCAAACGUUGUUCGGAAUUAUUGGGCGUAAAGGGCGCGUAGGCGGCUCGGUAAGUCAGAUGUGAAAGCCCGGGGCUCAACCCUGGAAGUGCGUUUGAAACUGCUGAGCUUGAGUGCAGGAGGGAGAGGUGGAAUUCCAGGUGUAGGAGUGAAAUCCGUAGAUAUCUGGAGGAACACCGGUGGCGAAGGCGACCUCUUGGCCUGAAACUGACGCUGAGGCGCGAAGGCGUGGGGAGCAAACAGGAUUAGAUACCCCCGUAGUC